Salvelinus fontinalis (brook trout) is the source of this 1758-nucleotide long non-coding RNA. RefSeq lists it as uncharacterized. The transcript is spliced from 3 exons. The record is from RefSeq and is a predicted model, not a curated record. NCBI's taxonomy places the organism in Eukaryota, Metazoa, Chordata, Actinopteri, Salmoniformes, Salmonidae.
UAGAGAGUGCACUGUAUCCUAUCCUAUGACACAAAAAAACGAUCAGCACACUAUCCCUUGAAGAGGUAGGCUAGAUAACCAGUUAUACAGAGUAAAUCAUUGUGUUUUGUGAAUCCAUUUGUGUUAUAUGACAAUGGAAAGACUUGUGGAGGAAACUUUCUAGCCUACUAUGAGAUAAAAUAUGUAGGGCAGCCCACAUGUCAUGUGAGGAAUGUUGGUGAUGCUGAUCCUAUCGUUUCUUGUUACCAAGCUGAGGUCACAUGACUAGAACGUUGCAUAGGUUGUAUGAAUACAACUAUCUCACUCUCUUGUAGAAGAUAGGAUCACUUUUGACAGGAUUAUAGACAAUUUGCUACAUAGUAUGAGGAACUUGUUGCACUUUGAAUGUCUGUUUGAGUUGCUUGCUGUACAGCCUGACGAUGUGGAUCACUAUACCUAUUGUGAGAGUUGCUUGACUACAGCCCAAGAAGUUGAGAGCAGAAGAAAGACAUAGCAGAGUACAGACGGGAUGUUAUUGAGAAGGUAGUCAGUUGGUGCUGUGUGUGGAACCGCUCCUUUCCACAAAAAUGGUCAACUUUCCAAAGAAAAUAUGAAAACGUCCUGCAAGCACCUAUUAGGUAAUAAUGUGAAUUUGUGUUCCGUAUCUUGAAUAAUAUUUCCUACAAAUGGACGUUUAUAAUGUUAUUGGACAAUGUGUGACAACUCUUCAGAUGUGCACAAUGAGGAGUUCCCUACAGGCAGAGUUGCAAAGAAAAAGCCAUAUCUCAGACUGGCCAAUAAAAAGAAAAGAUUAAGAUGGGCAAAAGAACACAGACACUGGACAGAGGAACUCUGCCUAGAAGGCCAGCAUCCCGGAGUCGCCUCUUCACUGUUGACGUUGAGACUGGUGUUUUGCGGGUACAAUUUAAUGAAGCUGCCAGUUGAGGACUUGUGAGGCGUCUGUUUCUCAAGCUAGACAAUCUAAUGUACUUGUCCUCUUGCUCAGUUGUGCCCUGGGGCCUCCCACUCCUCUUUCUAUUCUGGUUAGAGCCAGUUUGCGCUAUUAUGUGAAGGGAGUAGUACACAGCGUUGUACAAGUUUCAGAAGAAAGUACUUUGUUUCUGGCUAUUUUGAGCCUGUAAUCGAACCCAGAAAUGCUGAUGCUUCAGAUACUCAACUAGUCUAAAGGCCAGUUUCAUUGCUUCUUUAAUCAGAACAACAGUUUUCAGCUGUGCUAACAUAAUUGCAAAAGGUUUUUCUAAUGAUCAAUUAGCAUUUUAAAAUGAUAAACUUGGAUUAGCGAACACAACGUGCCAUUGGAACACAGGAGUGAUGAUUGCUGAUAAUGGGCCUCUCUACGCCUAUGUAGAUAUUCCAUAAAACAAUCAGCUGUUUCCAGCUACAAUAGUCCUUUACAACAUUAACAAUGUCUACACUGUAUUUAUUUUAAUGGACAAAAAAGUAGCUAUUCUUUCAAAAACAAGGACAUUUCUAAGUGACCCCAAACUUUUGAAUGAUAGUGUGUGUAUGUAUGUAUAUGUGUGUGUUUUGGUAGGAUUGAUAUGCAUGUUUUCAUUCAUGUGAAGUGUGUUCAAGAGGUCUAGUAGACAGUCAUGGAAGGCAUUGCUGUUGCACUCUUGCUACAUUUAAGAGCAUCAGACCAGGUAAUGUUGCUACAUGUAAGAGCAUCUGAUCAGGCACUGCUGCUACACUAUAUAUAUGUUUUGUUGUUGCCUGUUAUUUUGGGAUUAAUGCAUGUCACAUCAGUUUGCAAACAAU